RNAcentral lists this ribosomal RNA (396 nucleotides) under uncultured bacterium. RNAcentral's name for it is "bacterial SSU rRNA". It matches the Rfam family "Bacterial small subunit ribosomal RNA", at positions 358 to 771 of the family's 1533-position model. The record is from RNAcentral.
GGAAUCUUGGACAAUGGGCGAAAGCCUGAUCCAGCGACGCCGCGUGACUGAUGAAGCCUUUCGGGGUGUAAAAGUCUUUCGGCAGGGACAAUUAUGAUGGUACCCGCACAAGCAGCUGCGGCUAACUACGUGCCAGCAGCCGCGGUAAUACGUAGGCAGCAAGCGUUGUUCGGAAUUACUGGGCGUAAAGCGAGUGUAGGCGGCUCACCAAGUCUGUUGUGAAAUCUCCCGGCUCAACUGGGAGGGUGCGGCGGAAACUGGUGGACUAGAGUACGAGAUGGGAGAGUGGAAUUCCUGGUGUAGCGGUGAAAUGCGUAGAUAUCAGGAGGAACACCGGUGGUGAAGACGGCUCUCUGGAUCGUGACUGACGCUGAGACUCGAAAGCGUGGGGAGCAA